This 230-nucleotide ribosomal RNA is filed under the name uncultured bacterium. Its description in RNAcentral is "partial 16S ribosomal RNA". It matches the Rfam family "Bacterial small subunit ribosomal RNA", at positions 562 to 791 of the family's 1533-position model. The record is from RNAcentral.
AAAGCGUGCGCAGGCGGUUAUAUAAGACAGAUGUGAAAUCCCCGGGCUCAACCUGGGAACUGCAUUUGUGACUGUAUAGCUAGAGUACGGCAGAGGGGGAUGGAAUUCCGCGUGUAGCAGUGAAAUGCGUAGAUAUGCGGAGGAACACCGAUGGCGAAGGCAAUCCCCUGGGCCUGUACUGACGCUCAUGCACGAAAGCGUGGGGAGCAAACAGGAUUAGAUACCCUUGU